CCUACGGGUGGCAGCAGUGAGGAAUAUUGGUCAAUGGGCGAAAGUCUGAACCAGCCAAGUAGCGUGAAGGAUGACUGCCCUAUGGGUUGUAAACUUCUUUUAUAUGGGAAUAAAACGUUCCACGUGUGGGAUUUUGUAUGUACCAUAUGAAUAAGGAUCGGCUAACUCCGUGCCAGCAGCCGCGGUAAUACGGAGGGUCCGAGCGUUAUCCGGAUUUAUUGGGUUUAAAGGGAGCGUAGGUGGAUUGUUAAGUGUGUUGUGAAAGGUUGCGGCUCAACCUGAGACUUGCAGUUGAAACUGGCAGUCUUGAGUACGGGAGAGGUAGGCGGAAUUCGUGGUGUAGCGGUGAAAUGCUUAGAUAUGACGAAGAACUCCGAUUGCGAAGGCAGUUCACUGGACUGGAACUGACACUGAGGCUCGAAAGUGUGGGUAUCAAACAGGAUUAGAUACCCUAGUAGUC
Molecule: ribosomal RNA, 460 nt
Filed under: uncultured bacterium
Lineage: Bacteria
Description: partial 16S ribosomal RNA
Rfam family: Bacterial small subunit ribosomal RNA
Source: RNAcentral